RNAcentral lists this ribosomal RNA (530 nucleotides) under Escherichia coli. RNAcentral describes it as "partial 23S ribosomal RNA". It matches the Rfam family "Bacterial large subunit ribosomal RNA", at positions 712 to 1239 of the family's 2925-position model. Lineage: Bacteria; Pseudomonadati; Pseudomonadota; Gammaproteobacteria; Enterobacterales; Enterobacteriaceae. The record is from RNAcentral.
GACCCGAAACCCGGUGAUCUAGCCAUGGGCAGGUUGAAGGUUGGGUAACACUAACUGGAGGACCGAACCGACUAAUGUUGAAAAAUUAGCGGAUGACUUGUGGCUGGGGGUGAAAGGCCAAUCAAACCGGGAGAUAGCUGGUUCUCCCCGAAAGCUAUUUAGGUAGCGCCUCGUGAAUUCAUCUCCGGGGGUAGAGCACUGUUUCGGCAAGGGGGUCAUCCCGACUUACCAACCCGAUGCAAACUGCGAAUACCGGAGAAUGUUAUCACGGGAGACACACGGCGGGUGCUAACGUCCGUCGUGAAGAGGGAAACAACCCAGACCGCCAGCUAAGGUCCCAAAGUCAUGGUUAAGUGGGAAACGAUGUGGGAAGGCCCAGACAGCCAGGAUGUUGGCUUAGAAGCAGCCAUCAUUUAAAGAAAGCGUAAUAGCUCACUGGUCGAGUCGGCCUGCGCGGAAGAUGUAACGGGGCUAAACCAUGCACCGAAGCUGCGGCAGCGACGCUUAUGCGUUGUUGGGUAGGGGAGCGU